CUCGUGUCGUGAGAUGUUGGUUAAGUCCCGCAACGAGCGCAACCCUUGUCACUAGUUGCCAUCAUUUAGUUGGGCACUCUAGUGAGACUGCCGGUGACAAACCGGAGGAAGGUGGGGAUGACGUCAAGUCCUCAUGGCCCUUAUGGGUAGGCUUCACACGUCAUACAAUGGUCGGUACAGAGGGUUGCCAAGCCGCGAGGUGGAGCCAAUCCCUUAAAGCCGAUCGUAGUCCGGAUCGUAGUCUGCAACUCGACUACGUGAAGUCGGAAUCGCUAGUAAUCGCAGAUCAGCAUGCUGCGGUGAAUACGUUCCCGGGUCUU
This 320-nucleotide ribosomal RNA is filed under the name uncultured Thauera sp. Its description in RNAcentral is "bacterial SSU rRNA". It matches the Rfam family "Bacterial small subunit ribosomal RNA", at positions 1059 to 1382 of the family's 1533-position model. Lineage: Bacteria; Pseudomonadati; Pseudomonadota; Betaproteobacteria; Rhodocyclales; Zoogloeaceae. The record is from RNAcentral.